AGGCACUGUCUGGAAGCCUAGCAGUGACACCUUGUGGCGAAAAAGUUAAUCACCAUCACAUGGCUUGUUGACAUUCCAGCCACAGUAGCGCAGUGGCCGAUGUACCUGGAGAUUCCGAGGCUUACCAUGCAUUGGACAUUUCCUCCUGUGCGUUUAUGAAGCAGCUCCUGCAAUUGCUCGGUCCAAAGCUGUGUUCCUUCAUAUUGUAUUGUCCUCAGUUUCUUUUCUGACGGUGGCUCUCAACUUGCUUGUCAUCAUCUCAGUCUCCCACUUCAGGCAGCUCCACACACCCACUAACAUCCUGCUCCUCUCUCUGGCUGUCUCAGACUUUCUUGUUGGCCUCCUAUUGUCACCUGC
Long non-coding RNA from Oreochromis aureus, 357 nucleotides. The record is from Ensembl. Lineage: Eukaryota; Metazoa; Chordata; Actinopteri; Cichliformes; Cichlidae.